Molecule: transfer RNA, 49 nt
Filed under: Porphyromonadaceae bacterium
Lineage: Bacteria; Pseudomonadati; Bacteroidota; Bacteroidia; Bacteroidales; Porphyromonadaceae
Description: tRNA-Met
Rfam family: tRNA
About the family: Transfer RNA (tRNA) molecules are approximately 80 nucleotides in length. Their secondary structure includes four short double-helical elements and three loops (D, anti-codon, and T loops).
Source: RNAcentral
GGCGAGAUAGCUCAGUUGGUUAGAGCGCAUGAUUCAUAAUCAUGAGGUC